Molecule: ribosomal RNA, 442 nt
Filed under: uncultured bacterium
Lineage: Bacteria
Description: partial 16S ribosomal RNA
Rfam family: Bacterial small subunit ribosomal RNA
Source: RNAcentral
CCUACGGGAGGCUGCAGUGGGGAAUAUUGGGCAAUGGGCGCAAGCCUGACCCAGCAACGCCGCGUGAAGGAAGAAGGCUUUCGGGUUGUAAACUUCUUUUAAGAGGGAAGAGCAGAAGACGGUACCUCUUGAAUAAGCCACGGCUAACUACGUGCCAGCAGCCGCGGUAAUACGGAGGGGGCAAGCGUUGUCCGGAUUUACUGGGGGUAAAGGGCGUGCAGCCGGGAAGACAAGUCAGAUGUGAAAUCCCGCGGCUCAACCGCGGAACUGCAUUUGAAACUGUUUUUCUUGAGUACCGGAGAGGUCAUCGGAAUUCCUGGUGUAGCGGUGAAAUGCGUAGAUAUAAGGAAGAACACCAGUGGCGAAGGCGGAUGACUGGACGGCAACUGACGGUGAGGCGCGAAAGCGUGGGGAGCAAACAGGAUUAGAUACCCCUGUAGUC